Molecule: non-coding RNA, 364 nt
Filed under: Staphylococcus simiae
Lineage: Bacteria; Bacillati; Bacillota; Bacilli; Caryophanales; Staphylococcaceae
Description: T-box sequence
Rfam family: T-box leader
About the family: Uncharged tRNA acts as the effector for transcription antitermination of genes in the T-box leader family. T-boxes are found upstream of many aminoacyl-tRNA synthetase genes and some amino acid biosynthetic genes usually in Gram-positive bacteria.
Source: RNAcentral
UUAAACACAAUAAAGAGGAAAGUAAAACUUACACUGCUUAUACAGAGAGUCUUUAAUAGCUGAGAGAAGAUUUUGAAAGAAAGUUUGAAAAUGGCCUUGGAGUGUUGAUACCAAUAUGAGGUAUCUACGGGUUCGCCCGUUAUAGCGAUACAGUAUUAACAUUUAUGUUAAAAUGGCGUACUGGAAUUUUACGUCACAAUAAUAUCGUUAAUACUCAUUUAAACGUAAAUUAAAUGAGUUUAUUAAUGUAAUUGUGCCUACCUUUCAGUCACGAUUAAUGUAUAUGGCGUACUGAAUGAGGUUAUUUUAGUGAUAAAGUAACAAAUAAAGGUGGUACCACGAAACCUAAGCUUUCGUCCUUUGC